UCCGGUUUGUCACCGGCAGUCCCAUUAGAGUGCUCAACUGAAUGUAGCAACUAAUGGCAAGGGUUGCGCUCGUUGCGGGACUUAACCCAACAUCUCACGACACGAGCUGACGACAGCCAUGCAGCACCUAUAUACAGACCCGAAGGCGUUAACAUCUCUGCUAACUUCCUGUACAUUUCGAGCCCAGGUAAGGUUUUUCGCGUUGCAUCGAAUUAAACCACAUGCUCCACCGCUUGUGCGGGCCCCCGUCAAUUUCUUUGAGUUUUAAUCUUGCGACCGUACUCCCCAGGCGGGAUGCUUAACGCGUUAGCUGCGGCACUGAAGGGGUCAAUACCUCCAACACCAAGUAUCCAUCGUUUACGGCGUGGACUAC
Molecule: unclassified non-coding RNA, 373 nt
Filed under: uncultured Pseudomonadota bacterium
Lineage: Bacteria; Pseudomonadati; Pseudomonadota
Description: uncultured proteobacterium contains 16S-23S intergenic spacer region
Source: RNAcentral